UUUAAAACACCAUGAAUGUAACCAUUGGCUAAAAGACUUCCUCACCCUGUUCAGAGUCAUGAGAAUACAUUCCAACUAUGUUGAAAAACUAAGUUUGGGGUAAAGACCCCAAAAGCUCUCAAAGCCCUAGAAAGUGCAAAAACAAAAGAAAAAGAAAAAUUGAUGAAUCGAAAAAAAAAAUAAAAAAAAAUCAAAUAAUCGAUGAUUCAAAAGAAAAAGCACGAAAAAGGGCAAUCGGUAAAAAAUCAAGAAAAGAAAACCGAGGAAAUAAAAGAAACAAACACAGGAU
Molecule: long non-coding RNA, 289 nt
Filed under: Lathyrus oleraceus (garden pea)
Lineage: Eukaryota; Viridiplantae; Streptophyta; Magnoliopsida; Fabales; Fabaceae
Description: Pisum sativum (pea) long non-coding RNA (PSAT_LNC034555)
Source: RNAcentral